UUUAAAUUGAGAGUUUGAUCCUGGCUCAGGAUGAACGCUGGCGGCGUGCCUAAUACAUGCAAGUCGUACGCUAGCCGCUGAAUUGAUCCUUCGGGUGAAGUGAGGCAAUGACUAGAGUGGCGAACUGGUGAGUAACACGUAAGAAACCUGCCCUUUAGUGGGGGAUAACAUUUGGAAACAGAUGCUAAUACCGCGUAACAACAAAUCACACAUGUGAUCUGUUUGAAAGGUCCUUUUGGAUCGCUAGAGGAUGGUCUUGCGGCGUAUUAGCUUGUUGGUAGGGUAGAAGCUACCAAAGCAAUGAUGCGUAGCCGAGUUGAGAGACUGGCCGGCCACAUUGGGACUGAGACACUGCCCAAACUCCUACGGGAGGCUGCAGUAGGGAAUUUUCCGCAAUGCACGAAAGUGUGACGGAGCGACGCCGCGUGUGUGAUGAAGGCUUUCGGGUCGUAAAGCACUGUUGUAAGGGAAGAAUAACUGAAUUCAGAGAAAGUUUUCAGCUUGACGGUACCUUACCAGAAAGGGAUGGCUAAAUACGUGCCAGCAGCCGCGGUAAUACGUAUGUCCCGAGCGUUAUCCGGAUUAUUGGGCGUAAAGCGAGCGCAGACGGUUUAUUAAGUCUGAUGUGAAAUCCCGAGGCCCAACCUCGGAACUGCAUUGGAAACUGAUUUAUUUGAGUGCGAUAGA
Molecule: ribosomal RNA, 687 nt
Filed under: Oenococcus oeni X2L
Lineage: Bacteria; Bacillati; Bacillota; Bacilli; Lactobacillales; Lactobacillaceae
Description: bacterial SSU rRNA
Rfam family: Bacterial small subunit ribosomal RNA
Source: RNAcentral